UGCGCAGGCGGUUUUGUAAGACCGAUGUGAAAUCCCCGGGCUCAACCUGGGAACUGCAUUGGUGACUGCAAGGCUUGAGUGUGUCAGAGGGAGGUGGAAUUCCGCGUGUAGCAGUGAAAUGCGUAGAUAUGCGGAGGAACACCGAUGGCGAAGGCAGCCUCCUGGGAUAACACUGACGCUCAUGCACGAAAGCGUGGGGAGCAAACAGGAUUAGAUACCCUGGUAGUCCACGCCCUAAACGAUGUCUACUAGUUGUCGGGGAUUAAUUUCCUUGGUAACGCAGCUAACGCGGGAAGUAGACCGCCUGGGGAGUACGGUCGCAAGAUUAAA
RNAcentral lists this ribosomal RNA (330 nucleotides) under uncultured Lautropia sp. RNAcentral describes it as "bacterial SSU rRNA". It matches the Rfam family "Bacterial small subunit ribosomal RNA", at positions 568 to 898 of the family's 1533-position model. Lineage: Bacteria; Pseudomonadati; Pseudomonadota; Betaproteobacteria; Burkholderiales; Burkholderiaceae. The record is from RNAcentral.